This 72-nucleotide transfer RNA is filed under the name Schistosoma japonicum. RNAcentral describes it as "tRNA-OTHER". Lineage: Eukaryota; Metazoa; Platyhelminthes; Trematoda; Strigeidida; Schistosomatidae. The record is from RNAcentral.
GACUUAGUGGUCCAUUGGUAAGGCGUUUGCCGCGGAGCCAGAGGGUCCUGGGUUCGAUCCCCCAUGGGGUCA